AUUGUCCAAUUCAAAGUCCAACUCGUCAACUUGAAUGCCAACUCUAAGGAGGUUCUUGUCACUCCGCUUUCUUCCCAACACUAUAAUCUCCCCUCUCAGUGCAGUACUUAUUUCUACCUCCCUGUCUAGCUAUCACGUUGUGAUAUGGAAAGUCUAUUAGAGAAUUUCUUGGUCUCUACCAACUUGAGACCAAGUUGGUCUCUAGUAAGGGUAAGAAGGUAAUUCCGCAUAAAAGCUUUCCUUCUGUAAUAAUAGAGAAAAAGGAAUGUGGGCCCAAUUGUGUUCAGUAAAUUUGAAGUGUAAAAAUUGGAGAGAGAAAGCAUUUUGAGGGUUUUUGGCGAGGAGAUCAGAAAUUGUAAAGAACUCAAGAAUUUCCAUUCAAAAGAAAUCCCAUUCCGGAGAAUUGUAGCUCGUAGGGGACGAUCUGGAAGCAGCAUUGUCGAACACUUCUUGUUAUGGUGUCGGAGAGGUCCGGUGACUCCUCAAUAAGCUGCAGACGUAAUUGGGGGGGUAGCUUGAAAAAAAUCAUGAAAAAGGUACCUGCGACUUCUUCUAGCAAUCAAACGGAUAAGAGGAAAUUGAAAGCUGUAGUCGAGGAUGUAGUAGUUGAGGAUGCAGAAGAAGACCCUGAGGAUACAAAUGAGGUCAGUGAAGAACGUUCUGAGGAUGAUUAUAUUGGAGAAGAGGUCGAAGAAGAUGAUCCAGAGGAUGAGUUAGAAGGUGGUGAGUACGAGGAAGAGGUGGAGUACGUACAACGUACUCGUAGCGGGCGUAAGCGGAAAGUGGUUGAGCAAGAAAAUACUCUGGCCACUACUACUACUCGCAGCAGACCUGUUCAAAAACAGAAGAGGAUAAUUACAACGGUGAAGCGUCCGGCAGCAGCAAAGAGGCAAUUUGUAGAGAGGCCGCAGGGCGCAAUGGAGAGGCAAUAUGUGGAGAGGCCGGCAGCAGUAGAGAGGCAAUAUGUGGAGAGACCAGUACAAAGGCAAUAUGUGGAGAGGCCGCCACCAGUACAGAGGCAAUAUGUGGAUAGGCAGCCACCAGUACAGAGGCGACGAUUUGUAGUAGAACAAGAUGAUCAGAUUGAUCUGGAACCGGGACCAUCGGUCGGUGAGAAGGUGAAAAUGAACGGGGUUGUGGUUAGUACGCAGUUGAGGAUGUGUGGGAAGUCAGCAAAUUACAAUUGCCGUGUUUCUGCUUUUUGUGACCUGAUAAGUGUGUUGACAAUUGAGAAGGAUAAAAUUGACCUCGUGGAGAGGUGUGGGUUUGGCGGGUUGUUGAAGUUGAAAGUUAAAAAAAUUGAUCGCAGGUUUUGUUACUGGCUCAUGACGAGGGUAGAUCAUGAGAGGAGGAUAUUUGUUGGAGGUGAUGGGACGGAGUUGCCAUUAGGAACUGAGCAAUGGAGGUGUAUAUUUGAUCUUCCACGGGGUCCAAAACCUGUGCCGGAUACUGUUGAGGAUCCAGUCAUGCAGAGUAAAGUUGACGACAUUGUUAGGAAUUUUGGUGAGGUGAAUGCUAGUGGGCGAGAGAAUAUUUCGAUUCAAAGGGCGUAUGAUUGUUUAGGAUUGAUGCCAAUUGGAACAGAGGAGGAGAAGGACCAUUUUAUGAGGGCGUUUCUAAUAGUUGUGUUGGGGUGGAUUUUGUGUCCUACGACUAAUGGUCAGAGCAACUGCUGCUAGUGAGUAUGACUGGUGUUCUUGUGUGCACAGCUGGGUUGAUGGGUGCUGUGUGUGACUUUCACAAAAGGUUUGACCCUAAAGGGUAUGCUGCUGGUGGGGGUGGAUGUGGCCUAUUUCUAAUGAUUUUGUAUCUUGAUCAUCUUGCCUUGCCUCCACUGAGUUGGGGCAGACUGUCGAGAAUUGAUGUGUGGACUGAGAAGAAAAUUAGUGCAUCUAUUCAUGCGGACUUGUUGCCUUCUUUAGAUUAUGGAAAAUUGAAAUUGCUUGACGUAGCGUACGGGGAAAGCCAUCCAUGGGAGCCUAGGGACUCCGCGGAUUCAUUAGAAGUGAGGGUUGGAAAGGAGGUUCUGAAAAUGUUGAAGCCGU
This is an RNA transcript of Chenopodium quinoa (quinoa), 2045 nucleotides long. RefSeq lists it as uncharacterized. NCBI's taxonomy places the organism in Eukaryota, Viridiplantae, Streptophyta, Magnoliopsida, Caryophyllales, Amaranthaceae. The transcript has 9 exons. The record is from RefSeq and is a predicted model, not a curated record.